UCAAGACACAAGACUGUCUGAGGAGAAGGGCAGGAAGACACAAAACUUUAUGGUAGUUCAUAAAUGCAAAGCCUUAGGAAAGGAGCGGGUGGCAGACCCUGAGAACAAACCCUAGAAGCAUCCAUCAGAGCUGCAGCUCCUGUGAGCGAAGGUCACUGCUGUCCCCACCAGUUUACAGGCCGUGCAGCGUUCUUUCAGAGAAAUACCUGAGCCACGUUUCCCUGGCAGCAUCCUGCUCUCACUGUCUGCUGUCUCGAGCUCCUCCAGCCUCUCCUGGCUCUGCUCCUGCCCUCUGCAUCUCCCGAGUGCUGGUGUGGAGCACUCAUGCAAAGCUGCCUUUUAGAUGCAACUUCACACGUCUCUCCCUGUUGAGGACUACUCCAUGGGUCCUGAGGUUUGCUUUUUCCUCAUCAGUUGCUUCCUCGUUUUGUCCGACUGCUACAACUUUCUCUCUCUUUCUCUCUUUUUUGCAUUUACACUAUGUGAAGCCCGAUACCUGGCUGUAAGCUGAGAAAGCAACACGCUACCUGAUGUUUGCAAUCAAUGUGUCUGUGCUUU
This 558-nucleotide long non-coding RNA is filed under the name Anser brachyrhynchus (Pink-footed goose). RNAcentral describes it as "lncRNA (ENSABRG00000009555.1)". Lineage: Eukaryota; Metazoa; Chordata; Aves; Anseriformes; Anatidae. The record is from RNAcentral.